UCCGAGUUGACCCCGGCAGUCUCCUAUGAGUCCCCACCAUUACGUGCUGGCAACAUAGAACGAGGGUUGCGCUCGUUGCGGGACUUAACCCAACAUCUCACGACACGAGCUGACGACAACCAUGCACCACCUGCGCAGGACCCUUGCGGACCCCAUAUCUCUAUGGGAUUUCCCUGCAUGUCAAGCCUUGGUAAGGUUCUUCGCGUUGCAUCGAAUUAAUCCGCAUGCUCCGCCGCUUGUGCGGGGCCCCGUCAAUUCCUUUGAGUUUUAGCCUUGCGGCCGUACUCCCCAGGCGGGGCGCUUAAUGCGUUAGCUACGGCACGGAUCCCGUGGAAGGAAACCCACACCUAGCGCCCACCGUUUACGGCGUGGACUAC
Molecule: unclassified non-coding RNA, 377 nt
Filed under: uncultured Actinomycetes bacterium
Lineage: Bacteria; Bacillati; Actinomycetota; Actinomycetes
Description: uncultured actinobacterium contains 16S-23S intergenic spacer region
Source: RNAcentral